Long non-coding RNA from Callorhinchus milii (elephant shark), 489 nucleotides. RefSeq lists it as uncharacterized. The record is from RefSeq and is a predicted model, not a curated record. The transcript has 3 exons. Lineage: Eukaryota; Metazoa; Chordata; Chondrichthyes; Chimaeriformes; Callorhinchidae.
ACGGUCGGGGGGUGGUUGAACGUGGAACCCUCUGACUUUGUUUGGCUGCUUGAAAUGCCUACUACAUGGUUAAUUUGUCCUACACUGGCUCUACGUAUCAGGGUCACCCAGGAAGAUGAUCGCCAGAAAGAACAUAUGUGCCACGUUCCUCAGAGAGACAGAAUUUGAUCUGAAGGAAAUCAAGUCGAGGAGAGCAUCGAGAUGGGGAAGUGGAACUGGUGGGUUUCGCUGCGAAAUCCGAAGAACAUCUGGGAAAACCAUCCUACACACCUUCUGAAUGAAAUUGUCGUCUACCUUGUGACUCUGUUGAUUCUGAAGCACGUGGUCCGAAAUGGAGGAAGAUGGAAGUAUAUAUGGCUCGCCACCAUCUUCAUGGGAUUACAAUGGAGGUGAUCUCCUACUUUGUCCCCGAUUUGGAUAAUUUCUGGCACGCUCAGAGCUCGGUGAUGCUCCUCGGUAAGUCAAGCCAUAAAUAUAUUGUGCUCCAAA